Molecule: ribosomal RNA, 241 nt
Filed under: uncultured bacterium
Lineage: Bacteria
Description: partial 16S ribosomal RNA
Rfam family: Bacterial small subunit ribosomal RNA
Source: RNAcentral
AAGCGUUGUUCGGAAUUACUGGGCGUAAAGGGCUCGUAGGCGGCCAACUAAGUCGGACGUGAAAUCCCCAGGCUCAACCUGGGAACUGCGUCUGAUACUGGAUGGCUUGAAUCCGGGAGAGGGAUGUAGAAUUCCAGGUGUAGCGGUGAAAUGCGUAGAUAUCUGGAGGAAUACCGGUGGCGAAGGCGGCAUCCUGGACCAUUACUGACGCUGAGGCACGAAAGCCAGGGGAGCAAACGGG